RNAcentral lists this ribosomal RNA (253 nucleotides) under uncultured bacterium. RNAcentral's name for it is "partial 16S ribosomal RNA". It matches the Rfam family "Bacterial small subunit ribosomal RNA", at positions 524 to 776 of the family's 1533-position model. The record is from RNAcentral.
UACGAAGGGGGCUAGCGUUGCUCGGAAUCACUGGGUGUAAAGCGCACGUAGGCGGAUUGCUAAGUCAGGGGUGAAAUCCUGGAGCUCAACUCCAGAACUGCCUUUGAUACUGAAGAUCUUGAGUUCGGGAGAGGUGAGUGGAACUGCGAGUGUAGAGGUGAAAUUCGUAGAUAUUCGCAAGAACACCAGUGGCGAAGGCGGCUCACUGGCCCGAUACUGACGCUGAGGCACGAAAGCGUGGGGAGCAAACAGG